GAGGAUAUAGCUCAGUGGUAGAGUGUGUGCUUAGCAUGCAUCAGGUCCUGGGUUCAAUCCCCAGUACCACCU
Molecule: transfer RNA, 72 nt
Filed under: Camelus bactrianus (Bactrian camel)
Lineage: Eukaryota; Metazoa; Chordata; Mammalia; Artiodactyla; Camelidae
Also listed under: 2 other names
Rfam family: tRNA
About the family: Transfer RNA (tRNA) molecules are approximately 80 nucleotides in length. Their secondary structure includes four short double-helical elements and three loops (D, anti-codon, and T loops).
Source: Rfam by way of RNAcentral